Molecule: non-coding RNA, 714 nt
Organism: Cicer arietinum (chickpea)
Lineage: Eukaryota; Viridiplantae; Streptophyta; Magnoliopsida; Fabales; Fabaceae
Source: RefSeq, a predicted model, not a curated record
UCUAACAUUUAUUUAUUGUUAAUAUUUUUUAAUAAAAUAUAAACGAACACACAUAUAGAAAAAUGAGUUUCAUUAUUAAGAGAGAGAGUGUGAGAACGAACAAACACACACAAAACAGCCACAAAAAGAGAGUUGUCUGCAGUGGUGGCUGAGUAGACGCUCUAGCGGUAGCGCUCGUGGUAGUAGUUUGCAGGAGGUCAAAGUUGACGGAGGUGGCGGUAUGGAUGCUCUAACGAUAGUGUUCGUGGUGGUGGUUUGCAAAUGUCGAUUUGAUAAUGGUUUCCUAAGGAUUUUGCAAAGGAUGAUGGAGGUGGUGAUGUGUGGCUAAUGCUCUCUCUAACUCUCUACAUUUUUAUUCAGGCUACAAGGAUGAAUUUGUGAGAUAAAUUGAGUUUCAAUUUUUCUAUUGUUUUGCAUAAAUUAUGGAGUGACAAGUGAAGACGAGACUUUCUACUUUUUGGUGGAGUGCAAAGUUGGUGAAAAUGAGACUUCUAAUUUUUGAUUAAGUGCAAAGUUGAUGAAGAUUUAAAAGGAAGGAAACAUGGAAGCUUAAAAUGUGGAGGAAUGAGGCUUGUAUUAUUUCUACCAAAAAUAUUAUUUUUAUUUGUUUGUUAGUUAUUGUUACUUUUUAUUUAUUUAUUUUUUAUAUUUUAUGAUGUAAAUUGGAUACUUUGUUAAAGCAUCAAUGAGAAUGUGAGCUCAAUUAUUGAACUA